UCCUUGUUGUUGUGUAGAGCUGUAACUGCUAUCACUAGCACUUAAUGAAGGCGGGGGCAUAGAAUAUUGGCUAGGAUAUCCUCCACCGCCGGUGUAAUCUCCAGACGCGUAAGCUACAAUUUCACAUAAACGAAGCAGAGCCAAACAUUGUCACCCUAAGCCCUCGAACAUUUUUUUAGGCUGACAGCUGACGUAGAGAAGAACGAGAUAUACCGCAUCCCCUCGAGCUUCCUUAUCAGAUUGGAUUUACCUCUCUUUAAAGUCCAAUGGAAAAUAGAUUUAAUAGACUUAUUAAUAAAGUUUAAUUUCUAUCCACACAUUUUUCCAGUACGCUAUCUAGGCUUGUAUAAAAAAUCCUUGGUACAAACUAGAUCGUUUCCGUCGUCAGUGUUGUCCUCCUCAGUGAAAUUAACCACUGGAUCUGGUUUUGAAUUCCCUUCAUGUACUAUUUUGAAAGUUAUGGAACGUGGCUAGCGGAAUUUUUAGGUUUCUUCAGUUAGUGCUGAAGUACAAAAUUAUGCCACUUUUUUUUUGUUCAUAGUUGUUACAGUUAAACUGGCCAAAAACGCCCAUGUUCAUCUGAGUCAAUGUAGGAUUCUAAUGAUGACGAUGAUGAAAGACUUUUUCAAAUGAUAGUAAUAUUACGCUUAGAAAAAGCAUUUUUAGGAGUUUCAAAUUAUGAUGUAUUUUCAAAGUAGGUACCUAUCUAUGAUUAGGAUAUAGAUGUUAAGAAAUCAAUACCAAUGUUAAUUUAAGAACUUAUUUAUUUUAAACAUGAUACAAGUGACCAGAUUUUUAUGCUUAACAUAAUAAUUUUAAAGGUCUAAAUGAAAGAAUUGACCAUUGUAUUAAUGAUAAUGCGCGAUAUACCUACUCACUCUACUUUGUUGUAGUUCAAAAAAGACAAAUCUUAAGUAAUCGAAUUUCAAAUACAAUCAUUCAUAAAAAUAUUAGCCGAGAGCUUUUCAAUAAAAUUAUUUUAUGUUUUGUUUUUCUGGAUACAAUUCAUUAAACCAUGUUGAUGAAAUAUCACAUAUCCCAUAAUCUAACUGUGAAAAUUGUACGAAAAUCUGUUUUGUAGUUCCAUAGAUAAAAGCGAACAGACACACAGAGUAAAGUUUUAUUCAAAGUAGGUACAGACAUUCAGAUUGUAUCCUUUUAUAAAGUACAUAAUAUAUAAAAUAAAAAAAAAACAUUAACAAUGCAGGCCAAAUAUUUACUAAUCAGUAGACUUUAUUUAAAAUAAAACACACUGUAAAACCUAAUACAUAAUAAAAAGAGCAGCCU
This is a long non-coding RNA of Bicyclus anynana (squinting bush brown), 1287 nucleotides long. RefSeq lists it as uncharacterized. Lineage: Eukaryota; Metazoa; Arthropoda; Insecta; Lepidoptera; Nymphalidae. The record is from RefSeq and is a predicted model, not a curated record. The transcript is spliced from 2 exons.